Myxocyprinus asiaticus (Chinese sucker) is the source of this 990-nucleotide long non-coding RNA. RefSeq lists it as uncharacterized. The record is from RefSeq and is a predicted model, not a curated record. The transcript has 3 exons. NCBI's taxonomy places the organism in Eukaryota, Metazoa, Chordata, Actinopteri, Cypriniformes, Catostomidae.
UUUUUUUUCUCCAAAUCUCCACUUUCACUUUCACAUCUGAAAGCCACAUGUGGUGCCUGUUUAUUUUCACUUUCACAUUAUAAGUAAACAAGAACUAAAAUAUUGAUCUGUUUCUCACCCACAUCUAUCAUAUCACUUCUGAAGAUAUGGAUUAAACCACUGGAGUCAUAUGGAUUACUUUUAUGUUCUGUUUAUGUGAUUUUUGGAGCUACAAAGUCUGAUUACCAUUCACUUGCAUUGUGAGGACUUACAGAGCUUAAAUAUUCUUCUAAAAAUCUUUGUUUGUGUUCUGCAGAAGAAAGAAAGUCAUACACAUCUUGGCAUGAGGGUGCACUCUAAAAAAUGCUGGGUUAUUUUUUCUACCCAAAAGCUGGGUUGAGACUGUUGGGUGAAGAAGUUGGGUUGAUCUGAUCCAAACCGGGAUGGUAAAGGUUUUAUACCUGUAAUCCAGCACUGCUGGGUUGGGAAAGCGGACGUGAAAGAAACCAUAUACGUCGUACAUCAUUACCUACGUACAGUUUCAAAUCUUUGUGAAGGCUGCAGAAUGAGAGAAAGAGCACCAACGCUGGAAGAUGUAAGCUGUUUUCAGCCUGGGUUUAUAACUAUUCACUGAAUAACCUGUAAACGAGCGGUGCUGUGUUGCGGAUGCCGCGUGAAAUUGUAAACCUCCGUGAAGACUGAAGAGCCCGAGAGGUGACACUAGAGACAUGCAAGUUCGUACCAGUGGCUGAGUACAGUACCUGCAUCGUGCAAAAGAUGGCAUCAAAUUUUCAUACACACUGAUGCUUGGAGAAAACAAUCAGUGCUUUCAAGCUUUUGUUGUCAUUCACAGAGAAACGCUUCAGCAAAAUACUUUGCAGGGCACAGUGGACAUUUACUUCAACGCUUUCUACCUCUUAAAUAUUAGUCAUCCCAAGAAGUGUUCCCCAGUGUGUGAAUUUCUACAGACUGGUAACUUGUUUAUUGAAACAGACAAUAAAUUUCUACCUU